CGGGACACGUGGUAUCCUGUCUGAAUAUGGGGGGACCAUCCUCCAAGGCUAAAUACUCCUGACUGACCGAUAGUGAACCAGUACCGUGAGGGAAAGGCGAAAAGAACCCCGGCGAGGGGAGUGAAAAAGAACCUGAAACCGUGUACGUACAAGCAGUGGGAGCACGCUUAGGCGUGUGACUGCGUACCUUUUGUAUAAUGGGUCAGCGACUUAUAUUCUGUAGCAAGGUUAACCGAAUAGGGGAGCCGAAGGGAAACCGAGUCUUAACUGGGCGUUAAGUUGCAGGGUAUAGACCCGAAACCCGGUGAUCUAGCCAUGGGCAGGUUGAAGGUUGGGUAACACUAACUGGAGGACCGAACCGACUAAUGUUGAAAAAUUAGCGGAUGACUUGUGGCUGGGGGUGAAAGGCCAAUCAAACCGGGAGAUAGCUGGUUCUCCCCGAAAGCUAUUUAGGUAGCGCCUCGUGAAUUCAUCUCCGGGGGUAGAGCACUGUUUCGGCAAGGGGGUCAUCCCGACUUACCAACCCGAUGCAAACUGCGAAUACCGGAGAAUGUUAUCACGGGAGACACACGGCGGGUGCUAACGUCCGUCGUGAAGAGGGAAACAACCCAGACCGCCAGCUAAGGUCCCAAAGUCAUGGUUAAGUGGGAAACGAUGUGGGAAGGCCCAGACAGCCAGGAUGUUGGCUUAGAAGCAGCCAUCAUUUAAAGAAAGCGUAAUAGCUCACUGGUCGAGUCGGCCUGCGCGGAAGAUGUAACGGGGCUAAACCAUGCACCGAAGCUGCGGCAGCGACGCUGAUGCGUUGUUGGGUAGGGGAGCGUUCUGUAAGCCUGUGAAGGUGUGCUGUGAGGCAUGCUGGAGGUAUCAGAAGUGCGAAUGCUGACAUAAGUAACGAUAAAGCGGGUGAAAAGCCCGCUCGCCGGAAGACCAAGGGUUCCUGUCCAACGUUAAUCGGGGCAGGGUGAGUCGACCCCUAAGGCGAGGCCGAAAGGCGUAGUCGAUGGGAAACAGGUUAAUAUUCCUGUACUUGGUGUUACUGCGAAGGGGGGACGGAGAAGGCUAUGUUGGCCGGGCGACGGUUGUCCCGGUUUAAGCGUGUAGGCUGGUUUUCCAGGCAAAUCCGGAAAAUCAAGGCUGAGGCGUGAUGACGAGGCACUACGGUGCUGAAGCAACAAAUGCCCUGCUUCCAGGAAAAGCCUCUAAGCAUCAGGUAACAUCAAAUCGUACCCCAAACCGACACAGGUGGUCAGGUAGAGAAUACCAAGGCGCUUGAGAGAACUCGGGUGAAGGAACUAGGCAAAAUGGUGCCGUAACUUCGGGAGAAGGCACGCUGAUAUGUAGGUGAAGCGACUUGCUCGUGGAGCUGAAAUCAGUCGAAGAUACCAGCUGGCUGCAACUGUUUAUUAAAAACACAGCACUGUGCAAACACGAAAGUGGACGUAUACGGUGUGACGCCUGCCCGGUGCCGGAAGGUUAAUUGAUGGGGUCAGCGCAAGCGAAGCUCUUGAUCGAAGCCCCGGUAAACGGCGGCCGUAACUAUAACGGUCCUAAGGUAGCGAAAUUCCUUGUCGGGUAAGUUCCGACCUGCACGAAUGGCGUAAUGAUGGCCAGGCUGUCUCCACCCGAGACUCAGUGAAAUUGAACUCGCUGUGAAGAUGCAGUGUACCCGCGGCAAGACGGAAAGACCCCGUGAACCUUUACUAUAGCUUGACACUGAACAUUGAGCCUUGAUGUGUAGGAUAGGUGGGAGGCUUUGAAGUGUGGACGCCAGUCUGCAUGGAGCCGGCCUUGAAAUACCACCCUUUAAUGUUUGAUGUUCUAACGUUGACCCGUGAUCCGGGUUGCGGACAGUGUCUGGUGGGUAGUUUGACUGGGGCGGUCUCCUCCUAAAGAGUAACGGAGGAGCACGAAGGUUGGCU
Molecule: ribosomal RNA, 1919 nt
Filed under: Escherichia coli
Lineage: Bacteria; Pseudomonadati; Pseudomonadota; Gammaproteobacteria; Enterobacterales; Enterobacteriaceae
Description: partial 23S ribosomal RNA
Rfam family: Bacterial large subunit ribosomal RNA
Source: RNAcentral